ACCUACGGGGGGCAGCAGUGGGGAAUAUUGCACAAUGGGCGAAAGCCUGAUGCAGCAACGCCGCGUGAGUGAAGAAGGCCUUCGGGUUGUAAAGCUCUGUCUUUUGGGACGAUAAUGACGGUACCAAAGGAGGAAGCCACGGCUAACUACGUGCCAGCAGCCGCGGUAAUACGUAGGUGGCAAGCGUUGUCCGGAUUUACUGGGCGUAAAGGAUGCGUAGGUGGAUAUUUAAGUGGGAUGUGAAAUACCCGGGCUCAACUUGGGUGCUGCAUUCCAAACUGGAUAUCUAGAGUGCAGGAGAGGAAAGUGGAAUUCCUAGUGUAGCAGUGAAAUGCGUAGAUAUUAGGAGGAACACCAGUGGCGAAGGCGGCUUUCUGGACUGUAACUGACACUGAGGCAUGAAAGCGUGGGGAGCAAACAGGAUUAGAUACCCUGGUAGG
This 440-nucleotide ribosomal RNA is filed under the name uncultured bacterium. RNAcentral's name for it is "bacterial SSU rRNA". It matches the Rfam family "Bacterial small subunit ribosomal RNA", at positions 337 to 794 of the family's 1533-position model. The record is from RNAcentral.